This 117-nucleotide small RNA is filed under the name Marmota monax (woodchuck). The record is from RNAcentral. Lineage: Eukaryota; Metazoa; Chordata; Mammalia; Rodentia; Sciuridae.
GUCAAACAUGGUGGUGCUUAUCUGUAGUCCCAGCUACUUGGGAAACUGAGGCAGGAGAAUCUCUUGAGCUCAGGAGUUUAAGACCUAUUUGGGCAACAUAGAAAGAUCCAAUCUCAA